Molecule: ribosomal RNA, 253 nt
Filed under: uncultured bacterium
Lineage: Bacteria
Description: partial 16S ribosomal RNA
Rfam family: Bacterial small subunit ribosomal RNA
Source: RNAcentral
UACGUAGGGUGCGAGCGUUAAUCGGAAUUACUGGGCGUAAAGUGUGCGCAGGCGGCGGAGCAAGUCGAGUGUGAAAUCCCCAGGCUUAACCUGGGAACUGCAUUCGAGACUGCAUUGCUAGAGUAUGGGAGAGGGAAGUGGAAUUUCAGGUGUAGCGGUGAAAUGCGUAGAUAUCAGGAGGAACACCGGUGGCGAAGGCGGGUCUCUGGGCCGAAACUGACGCUGAGGAGCGAAAGCGUGGGGAGCGAACAGG